Molecule: long non-coding RNA, 291 nt
Organism: Salvelinus sp. IW2-2015
Lineage: Eukaryota; Metazoa; Chordata; Actinopteri; Salmoniformes; Salmonidae
Source: RefSeq, a predicted model, not a curated record
AGCUGUUCCAGGCCUGGAGUGGCAGGCUGGAACUUCCAGAGGCUUGUAGACCUGAAGCAGUGUGAUGUGGUCCAGAUCUGACACCCCUAUUAGCUCAACCACAGUCUUCACAGCUGCAGUCGUCUGCCCCUGCAUCUGCUCCACCGGCCACAACAGGUGAUACAGAUCUGCCACCCCCAGCAGUUCAGCUGCAGUCACAGCAGUCCUCUGCUGUGGUAUUUAAUUUACCGGCUGCACCAGUUCCUACUACACUGGGCGUGAAGGGAGAAACUUUUGAGGAUACCCAGAUGG